RNAcentral lists this long non-coding RNA (201 nucleotides) under Medicago truncatula (barrel medic). RNAcentral describes it as "long non-coding RNA (MTRU_LNC000093)". Lineage: Eukaryota; Viridiplantae; Streptophyta; Magnoliopsida; Fabales; Fabaceae. The record is from RNAcentral.
CUAUUUCAUCCGAGAAAAGAAAUCAACAUCUCUAUUCAUUCUCUUCCAUUUCAAAACUCAAUAAUCUCUUGUAAUAAAAAAACUAAUUUUAAUUUAAUUAAAGUUCUAAACCCUUAGUUCACCCUAUUCCUUCUAUAUUUUUAUUCAUUUCAAACUUCUCUUGCACUUCCUCUCAACUGGGUCACAGAAUCAACCCAAAAG